AAGGUUUUAAGUUAAUUAAACUGAGGGCUUUCAAGGUCUUUAAUAAAUAAAUAUGUUUAAACCUUG
This 66-nucleotide transfer RNA is filed under the name Histioteuthis bonnellii (umbrella squid). Its description in RNAcentral is "tRNA-Trp". The record is from RNAcentral. Lineage: Eukaryota; Metazoa; Mollusca; Cephalopoda; Oegopsida; Histioteuthidae.